UGCAGUCGACGAACCUUCGGGUUAGUGGCGGACGGGUGAGUAACGCGUGAGAAUCUGCCCUCAGGAGGGGGAUAACAGUUGGAAACGACUGCUAAUACCCCAUAUGCCGAGAGGUGAAACGAAUUUUGCCUGGGGAUGAGCUCGCGUCUGAUUAGCUUGUUGGUGGGGUAAAAGCCUACCAAGGCUUCGAUCAGUAGCUGGUCUGAGAGGACGAUCAGCCACACUGGGACUGAGAUACGGCCCAGACUCCUACGGGAGGCAGCAGUGGGGAAUUUUCCGCAAUGGGCGCAAGCCUGACGGAGCAACGCCGCGUGAGGGAUGAAGGCCUUUGGGCUGUAAACCUCUUUUCUCAAGGAAGAAGAUCUGACGGUACUUGAGGAAUAAGCCACGGCUAAUUCCGUGCCAGCAGCCGCGGUAAUACGGGAGUGGCAAGCGUUAUCCGGAAUUAUUGGGCGUAAAGCGUCCGCAGCGGCCGUUUAAGUCUGUUGUUAAAUCGUGGAGCUCAACUCCAUCACCGCAAUGGAAACUGGUCUGGAAACUGUUCGGCUUGAGUAUGGUAGGGGCAGAGGGAAUUUCCGGUGUAGCGGUGAAAUGCGUAGAUAUCGGGAAGAACACCAGUGGCAAAAGCGCUCUGCUGGGCCAUUACUGACGCUCAUGGACGAAGCAGGGGAGCGAAAGGGAUUAGAUACCCCUGUAGUCUGGCGUAACGAUGACACUAGAUGUGGGGGAUCGACC
This 735-nucleotide ribosomal RNA is filed under the name uncultured bacterium. RNAcentral's name for it is "bacterial SSU rRNA". It matches the Rfam family "Bacterial small subunit ribosomal RNA", at positions 56 to 837 of the family's 1533-position model. The record is from RNAcentral.